RNAcentral lists this small RNA (184 nucleotides) under Gopherus agassizii (Agassiz's desert tortoise). Its description in RNAcentral is "TUC338 (ENSGAGG00000023448.1)". The record is from RNAcentral. Lineage: Eukaryota; Metazoa; Chordata; Testudines; Testudinidae.
UUGACAGUCCUGGAGACUGAAGUCGUCUUUUUAUGCACAGAACACUAACACCAACUGCAGCAGAAGUCCAAACUUAUGCUUGAAAGAAGCCCUGCCAAUAUAUUUCCCCUCUAACCCGAGAGCCACACCUUAAGGUACGAGUGGGAAAAAUCAGUCCCUAUUACCAAGGUAAACCAUGGCCUUG